GAUGAAGAACGUAGCGAAAUGCGAUAAGUAAUGUGAAUUGCAGAAUCCAGUGAAUCAUCGAAUCUUUGAACGCACAUUGCGCCCGCCAGCAUUCUGGCGGGCAUGCCUGUUCGAGCGUCAUUUCAACCCUCGACCUCCCUUUGGGGAAGUCGGCGUUGGGGACCGGCAGCACACCGCCGGCCCUGAAAUGGAGUGGCGGCCCGUCCGCGGCGACCUCUGCGUAGUAAACCAACUCGCACCGGAACCCCGACGUGGCCACGCCGUAAAACACCCAACUUCUGAACGUUGACCUCGAAUCAGGUAGGACUACCCGCUGAACUUAAGCAUAUCAAUAAGCAGAGGA
Molecule: unclassified non-coding RNA, 343 nt
Filed under: soil metagenome
Description: partial contains 5.8S ribosomal RNA, internal transcribed spacer 2, and large subunit ribosomal RNA
Rfam family: 5.8S ribosomal RNA (bases 1-120)
Source: RNAcentral